GAUGAACGCUGGCGGCGUGCCUAAUACAUGCAAGUCGAGCGAACAGACGGUGAGCUUGCUCCUCUGACGUUAGCGGCUGACGGGUGAGUAACACGUGGAUAACCUACUUAUAAUACUGGGAUAACUUCGUGAAACCGGUGCUGAUACCGGCUCAUAUAUUGAACCGCAGGGUUCAAUAGUGAAAGGCGGUUUUCCUGUUUCUUUUAGCUGGAUCCGCGCCGCAUUAGCUAGUUGGUAAGGUAACGGCUUACCAAGGCAACGAUGCGUAGCCGACCUGGGAGGGUGAUCGGCCACACUGGAACUGAGACACGGUCCAGACUCCUACGGGAGGCAGCAGUAGGGAAUAUUGGGCAAUGGGCGAAAGCCUGACGGAGCAACACCGCGUGGGUGAUGAAGGUCUUCGGAUCGUAAAACCCUGUUAUUGGGGAAGAACAGCUGUAUAAGAAAAUAUGCCCGUCUUGACGGUACCCAAAGAGAAAGCACCGGCUAACUACGUG
This 497-nucleotide ribosomal RNA is filed under the name uncultured bacterium. Its description in RNAcentral is "partial 16S ribosomal RNA". It matches the Rfam family "Bacterial small subunit ribosomal RNA", at positions 28 to 507 of the family's 1533-position model. The record is from RNAcentral.